UUAGCCAUGCUAGUUGCACGAGUUCACACUCGUAGCAUAUAGCUCAGUAACACGUGGUCAAGCUACCCUGCAGACACGGACAACCUCGGGAAACUGAGGCUAAUCCGCGAUACCGAUCCCACGCUGGAAUGCCGGGAUCCACAAACGCUCCGGCGCUGCAGGAUGCGGCUGCGGCCGAUUAGGUAGACGGUGGGGUAACGGCCCACCGUGCCGAUAAUCGGUACGGGUUGUGAGAGCAAGAGCCCGGAGACGGAAUCUGAGACAAGAUUCCGGGCCCUACGGGGCGCAGCAGGCGCGAAACCUUUACACUGCACGCAAGUGCGAUAAGGGGACUCCGAGUGCGAGGGCAUAUAGUCCUCGCUUUUGAGAACCGUAAGGCGGUUCUCGAAUAAGAGCUGGGCAAGACCGGUGCCAGCCGCCGCGGUAAUACCGGCAGCUCAAGUGAUGGCCAAUCUUAUUGGGCCUAAAGCGUCCGUAGCUGGCCACGAAAGUCCGUCGGGAAAUCCAUCUGCCCAACAGAUGGGCGUCCGGCGGAAACUUCGUGGCUUGGGACCGGAAGGCUCGAGGGGUACGUCCGGGGUAGGAGUGAAAUCCCGUAAUCCUGGACGGACCGCCGAUGGCGAAAGCACCUCGAGAAGACGGAUCCGACAGUGAGGGACGAAAGCUAGGGUCUCGAACCGGAUUAGAUACCCGGGUAGUCCUAGCCGUAAACAAUGUUCACUAGGUGUGGCACAGGCUACGAGCCUGUGCUGUGCCGUAGGGAAGCCGAGAAGUGUGCCACCUGGGAAGUACGUCCGCAAGGAUGAAACUUAAAGGAAU
Molecule: ribosomal RNA, 819 nt
Filed under: Halogeometricum borinquense
Lineage: Archaea; Methanobacteriati; Methanobacteriota; Halobacteria; Halobacteriales; Haloferacaceae
Also listed under: 1 other name
Description: bacterial SSU rRNA
Rfam family: Archaeal small subunit ribosomal RNA
Source: RNAcentral